RNAcentral lists this ribosomal RNA (326 nucleotides) under uncultured eukaryote. RNAcentral describes it as "partial 18S ribosomal RNA". It matches the Rfam family "Eukaryotic small subunit ribosomal RNA", at positions 1470 to 1796 of the family's 1831-position model. The record is from RNAcentral.
CCCUUAGAUGUUCUGGGCCGCACGCGCGCUACACUGAUGCAUUCAACGAGCCUAGCCUUGACCGAGAGGUCCGGGUAAUCUUUGAAACUGCAUCGUGAUGGGGCUAGAUUAUUGCAAUUAUUAAUCUUCAACGAGGAAUGCCUGGUAAGCGUGAUUCAUCAAAUCGCGUUGAUUACGUCCCUGCCCUUUGUACACACCGCCCGUCGCUCCUACCGAUUGAGUGUGUUGGUGAGGAGUUUGGAUUGGCCUCGGAAGGUGGUUCGCCACCGUCCGUAGCUGAGAAGUUCUCCAAACCGCCCCACUUAGAGGAAGGAGAAGUCGUAACA